GCUUGUCUCAAAGAUUAAGCCAUGCAUGUCUCAGUAUAAGCUUGUGCAUAGUGAAACUGCGAACGGCUCAUUAUAACAGUUAUAAUUUGUUUGGUGUUCAAGUUUACAUGGGUAACUGUGGCAAUUCUAGAGCUAAUACAUGCAUCAAACCCCGACUUCUGGAAGGGGUGUAUUUAUUAGAUGGAAACCAAUGCAGGGCAACCUGGAAUAUGGUGAUUCAUAAUAACUCGCGGAUCGGUUUACCGAUGCAUCAUUCAAGUUUCUGCCCUAUCAGCUUUGGAUGGUAGGGUAUUGGCCUACCAUGGCUUUAACGGGUAACGGAGAAUUAGGGUUCGAUUCCGGAGAGGGAGCCUGAGAAAUGGCUACCACAUCCAAGGAAGGCAGCAGG
Molecule: ribosomal RNA, 388 nt
Filed under: uncultured Chrysophyceae
Lineage: Eukaryota; Chrysophyceae
Description: partial small subunit ribosomal RNA
Rfam family: Eukaryotic small subunit ribosomal RNA
Source: RNAcentral